RNAcentral lists this ribosomal RNA (254 nucleotides) under uncultured bacterium. Its description in RNAcentral is "partial 16S ribosomal RNA". It matches the Rfam family "Bacterial small subunit ribosomal RNA", at positions 524 to 776 of the family's 1533-position model. The record is from RNAcentral.
UACGGAGGGUGCGAGCGUUGUCCGGAAUCAUUGGGCGUAAAGGGCGCGUAGGUGGCCCGGUCAGCGUGCGGUGAAAGCUCGGGGCUCAACCCCGAGUCUGCCGUGCGAACUGCUGGGCUUGAGCACUGUAGAGGCAGGCGGAAUUCCGGGUGGAGUGGUGAAAUGCGUAGAGAUCCGGAGGAACACCGAAGGCGAAGGCAGUGUCCUGGCGAGUAUCCUGACGCUGAGGUGCGAAAGCCAGGGGAGCGAACGGG